GGACAUUUCCACCUGGACAUCCUGCCACAUGCACCUCAGACUCAUUAUGUCCAAGACAGGACACAAUGCCUCCUACCAGGAGCAUGUUCUUCCUUAUCCACUGUUGGAAUUUUUUUUUUUUAUAAACUAGUUGACUUACAAUGUUAUGUUAGUUCCAUUGUUAUAGUUUGAGAGCAGCGCAGCUGUGUUUACCUGAGAUGGAUGCUCGUUGGAACUGGAAACCCAUGAACUGUAUGCAAAUGUUUGAAUCAGGACAGUUACCUGAGGCUGAGGCAGAUGGGACCCUAGAAAAGACCACAGAACUGGGUCCACUGGGAUGUGGAUCCCAAUACUCCUGGGCCACGCCACAGACAGCGCUUCUGGCAGCUCCCCCCAGACAAGCAGCAGACCACAAGCCAAGGUAGCCGAGUUCCUGGGAGUCAAGAGCGGAGGAGCCAGAAACUUCUGUGUGACCUGAGGAAGAAGAAACAGAAGCGGUAAUCAGUGCUAUGAAACAUCUUUUAUAUUGUAAUUAAAGCUCCUACCUGGAUGCCUGGCAUUACGCUGGUUCUUUACCUUUACUAUUUCAGCUCCAUGUACAUCAGUGAGAUUAGAACAUUACUACACACCAUAUAAAAAAAUAAACUCAAAUGGAUCGAAGACCUGAAUAUAUGA
This is a long non-coding RNA of Bos indicus x Bos taurus (hybrid cattle), 654 nucleotides long. The record is from Ensembl. Lineage: Eukaryota; Metazoa; Chordata; Mammalia; Artiodactyla; Bovidae.